UGUCAGCUGUACAGGACUCAUACAUUCCUGCUCAACUACAUCUCCUGUCAAAAAAAAACAAUGCACAACUUCUGAUUCCGCAACAUACUUCAGAGAUGACGUUGGAGGAGCUUUCCCCUUAAAAUGUUUCAACUCUGAGAAACAUUCCUAGUAGAACGGGACAAAUCCUGAAGGCCGGGUGUCGGGUUACAGCGUCCUGUAUCUUUUAUAAACUUACUCUUGGGAAGUGUUAAAAAAGAUGGGAGAUUGGAGUUUUUUGGAAAAACUCCUCGAUGAAGUACAGGAACAUUCAACAGUGAUUGGCAAGAUUUGGCUCACUGUGCUCUUCAUAUUUCGGAUUCUGAUCCUGGGCACAGCCGCAGAGUAUGUGUGGGAUGAUGAGCAGUCAGAUUUUGAUUGCAAUACAGCGCAGCCAGGUUGUGAAAAUGUUUGCUAUGACAAGGCUUUUCCAAUCUCACACGUCCGCUACUGGGUGUUGCAAAUCCUCUUUGUGUCAACACCAACACUUAUCUACUUGGGCCAUGUGAUACACAUAUCAAGGCAAGAGGUAAAACUGAAGCAGCGAGAGGAGGCACUGAGGUCCCUGCAGAACAAAGACAGCGAAACUGAAUACAUUUUGAAAGAGAUUGAAAAAAAGAAGCUAAAGUAUGCCAUUGAUGAAAGUGGAAAGGUCGAAAUUAGGGGAGCACUAUUGUGCACCUACACACUCAGCAUUAUCUUCAAGAUGACAUUUGAACUGAGCUUUCUACUAGGUCAGUGGUAUUUAUAUGGUUUUGUGAUGCCUGCCAUUUAUGUCUGUCGAAGAAUUCCCUGUCCACAUCAGGUAGAUUGUUUUAUAUCCCGUCCCACAGAGAAGACCAUCUUCAUUUUAUUUAUGUUUGUGGUAGGUCUGAUAUCACUGCUGCUGAACCUAAUGGAAAUGUUCCACCUCAUUGGCAAGUGUAUUUUUCGUAACAUUCAGAGCAAUUCCAAGAAACAGCUUUAUCCAAAAUUGUCUAAAUUUCCAGGAGGUCCCUACAUUGAAAAGGAGUCAGUACCAGUACAGUACAUGUACCCAUCCAUGGAACAGACUCAUGGACCUUAUCAGAGUUGCAACAAGUCAUCGACUCAGCAGAAUUGGACAAACUAUACUACGGAGCAGAUAUUAGCAGGCCAAAAGGUGAAUUCCACACCACCAGGACCUUUGCCGUCAUUUAACUUCUUGAGUGAUGUCCCUGAUAAAGUAGACCAAAGCUCAGUUCAACAGGAAAGGCCUAUUAGUCCAGUCAGCAGUGUGAGCAGUCGGAGAAGGGAAACUGAUGUUGCAAUCUAAUUUUGAAUGAACAUCAAGUUCUGAAUGAGCAAUAUUUAAGAAUGGUUAUGUUUGACAAAUGAGUUUGCAGGAUUUCAGACAUUGUCUAUGAGCAAAGUUGAAUGAUAUCCAAUAUGGAUUGCAACACAUUUGACAUGAUUUAGGUACUGUUCUAAGAUGGAUGCCACUGUGCCGAAUAAUGGACAAAUACAUGUCUCUGAGUCAAUCACUGUAUGGAGUUAUUACUAAACUUGUAAUUUAUUUACUACUUACCGUGAGAUUUCCUAUUUCUUGGUUAAUAUUUUGUGAUUGAACUAUGCCAUUGGACUGAAUGAAACUUUUUUAGAAGCCUUUCUUUGCUAUUUUGUGACUGAAAUGCUCAAGUGAGUUGGUGCCAGGUCAAUGCCAGUGAUGUUCUGUUACCAUUCAGCAGUAGUGAUCUUCAAUAUCAUGGAAUAGAAUUGAAAGAAGGAAUUGGUAGCAUCAAACCACACUCCUUAAGAAAUUACCACACCUUGCUCAUUAUUUAUAGUUUUAUUUGCCACAUUAUUUCAAUUUGAAAAUACCACCACAGGCCUGAAGACAUCAUUGGAAGUUCUAUUGCGAAGGUAUGUUGUGAGAUGCAAAAGCAAAUUGCACACCAGCACUUUUCACAGCCAAGCAUUGCCCUACCUUUAACUAAUGCUAUUGCAUUGUUAGCCAGCAUUGUAUUCUCUCCAACAGAUACUCCAUGAGCAAAAUAAAGCAAAAUGACGUAAACUCCAAUGGCCAACCUUGAAGAGUGAAGGACGCUGAAACAGGACGUCAAGAAUUAAAAACAGCUGUGACUGUGACCAUAGUUUUGAAAUCUGAGCUCACACUUGAGAAAGUUGCUCAUGAUCUUCUUAGGUAAAUUUAGCUCAUUGCAAUAGUAACAAAGUCCCAGCUGUUUCUCAGAAAUGUGACAACUGAAGGAAAGCACACAAUUAACUCUGUAAAUAAUCAAUUAGAUGAAAUAUUUGUUAAAGUGUCCUGUACAAGGUGAAUUUUGUGUUACUUCUUGAUGCCAUUUGAACUG
Molecule: RNA transcript, 2348 nt
Organism: Stegostoma tigrinum
Lineage: Eukaryota; Metazoa; Chordata; Chondrichthyes; Orectolobiformes; Stegostomatidae
Gene name: gap junction alpha-4 protein-like
Exons: 3
Source: RefSeq, a predicted model, not a curated record